UUUAAAGAGAGUUUGAUCCUGGCUCAGGACGAACGCUGGCGGCGUGCCUAAUACAUGCAAGUCGAACGAACGGAGGAAGAGCUUGCUCUUCCAAAGUUAGUGGCGGACGGGUGAGUAACACGUGGGCAACCUGCCUGUAAGUUGGGGAUAACUCCGGGAAACCGGGGCUAAUACCGAAUGAUAAAGUGUGGCGCAUGCCAUGCUUUUGAAAGAUGGUUUCGGCUAUCGCUUACAGAUGGGCCCGCGGUGCAUUAGCUAGUUGGUAGGGUAAUGGCC
RNAcentral lists this ribosomal RNA (276 nucleotides) under Listeria monocytogenes. RNAcentral describes it as "partial 16S ribosomal RNA". It matches the Rfam family "Bacterial small subunit ribosomal RNA", at positions 1 to 265 of the family's 1533-position model. The record is from RNAcentral. Lineage: Bacteria; Bacillati; Bacillota; Bacilli; Caryophanales; Listeriaceae.